This 112-nucleotide non-coding RNA is filed under the name bovine gut metagenome. RNAcentral describes it as "FMN riboswitch (RFN element)". It matches the Rfam family "FMN riboswitch aptamer (RFN element)". From Rfam's summary of the family: The RFN element is a highly conserved domain that is found frequently in the 5'-untranslated regions of prokaryotic mRNAs that encode for flavin mononucleotide (FMN) biosynthesis and transport proteins. This element is a metabolite-dependent riboswitch that directly binds FMN in the absence of proteins. In Bacillus subtilis, the riboswitch most likely controls gene expression by causing premature transcription termination within the 5' untranslated region of the ribDEAHT operon and precluding access to the ribosome-binding site of ypaA mRNA. The record is from RNAcentral.
UGUCUUCAGGGUCGGGUGAAAUUCCCAGCCGGUGGUGAUAGUCCACGAGAGGUAUUCCUCAUGAUUUGGUGAAAUUCCAAAACCGAUAGUUAAAGUCUAGAUGAAAGAAGAA